RNAcentral lists this ribosomal RNA (460 nucleotides) under uncultured bacterium. RNAcentral describes it as "partial 16S ribosomal RNA". It matches the Rfam family "Bacterial small subunit ribosomal RNA", at positions 338 to 795 of the family's 1533-position model. The record is from RNAcentral.
CCUACGGGGGGCAGCAGUGAGGAAUAUUGGGCAAUGGGCGGAAGCCUGAACCAGCCAAGUCGCGUGAGGGAAUAAGGCCCUACGGGUCGUAAACCUCUUUUGCCGGGGAGCAAGUGCGGGGACGUGUCCCGGCCCGGAGAGUACCCGGAGAAAAAGCAGCGGGCAACUCCGUGCCCGCAGCCGCGGUAAUCCGGAGGAUGCGAGGGUUAUCCGGAUUUAUUGGGUUUUAAGGGGUGGUAGGCGGGCUUUUAAGUCAGCGGUAAAAAUUCGGGGCACAACCCCGUCCGGCCGUUGAAACUUGGGGCCUUGAGUGGGCGAGAAGAAGGCGGAAUGCGUGGUGUAGCGGUGAAAUGCAUAGAUAUCACGCAGAACCCCGAUUGCGAAGGCAGCCUUCCGGCGCCCUACUGACGCUGAGGCACGAAAGUGCGGGGAUCGAACAGGAUUAGAUACCCUUGUAGUC